RNA transcript from Homo sapiens (human), 7637 nucleotides. It is a transcript of the gene named ankyrin repeat domain 30B, with no coding region annotated. Lineage: Eukaryota; Metazoa; Chordata; Mammalia; Primates; Hominidae. The record is from RefSeq and is marked validated. The transcript has 49 exons.
GUAACGCUCUAACGUUAGAGCAGCUAACGGCUCUGCUCAGAAUUUCUCCCGACAGAGGCCGGAGUGUUCAAGAGCUUGGCGAUACAGAAAUUUCUGCUGGUGUUGGGGCGGGUGCGGGAACUGAAGACGGGCGAGUGCGAGCCGGGGGCGGGUGCUGGGGAAGGGUAAGCGGGAAGCGAGGGCGAGGGGUAGGGGCUGGGGAAGGGCGAGCGGGAGGCGCGGGCUCUCUCUAGCAGGGGGCUGCAGCCAUGAAGAGGCUCUUAGCUGCCGCUGGCAAGGGCGUGCGGGGCCCGGAGCCCCCGAACCCCUUCAGCGAACGGGUCUACACUGAGAAGGACUACGGGACCAUCUACUUCGGGGAUCUAGGGAAGAUCCAUACAGCUGCCUCCCGGGGCCAAGUCCAGAAGCUGGAGAAGAUGACAGUAGGGAAGAAGCCCGUCAACCUGAACAAAAGAGAUAUGAAGAAGAGGACUGCUCUACACUGGGCCUGUGUCAAUGGCCAUGCAGAAGUAGUAACAUUUCUGGUAGACAGAAAGUGCCAGCUUAAUGUCCUUGAUGGCGAAGGGAGGACACCUCUGAUGAAGGCUCUACAAUGCGAGAGGGAGGCUUGUGCAAAUAUUCUCAUAGAUGCUGGUGCUGAUCUAAAUUAUGUAGAUGUGUAUGGCAACACGGCUCUCCAUUAUGCCGUUUAUAGUGAGAAUUUGUUAAUGGUGGCAACACUGCUGUCCUAUGGUGCAGUCAUCGAGGUGCAAAACAAGGCUAGCCUCACACCCCUUUUACUGGCCAUACAGAAAAGAAGCAAGCAAACUGUGGAAUUUUUACUAACAAAAAAUGCAAAUGCAAACGCAUUUAAUGAGUCUAAAUGCACAGCCCUCAUGCUUGCCAUAUGUGAAGGCUCAUCAGAGAUAGUCGGCAUGCUUCUUCAGCAAAAUGUUGACGUCUUUGCUGAAGACAUACAUGGAAUAACUGCAGAACGUUAUGCUGCUGCUUGUGGAGUUAAUUACAUUCAUCAACAACUUUUGGAACAUAUACGAAAAUUACCUAAAAAUCCUCAAAAUACCAAUCCAGAAGGAACAUCUACAGGAACACCUGAUGAGGCUGCACCCUUGGCGGAAAGAACACCUGACACGGCUGAAAGCUUGCUGGAAAAAACACCUGACGAGGCUGCACGCUUGGUGGAGGGAACGUCUGCCAAAAUUCAAUGUCUGGGGAAAGCAACAUCUGGAAAGUUUGAACAGUCAACAGAAGAAACACCUAGGAAAAUUUUGAGGCCUACAAAAGAAACAUCUGAGAAAUUUUCAUGGCCAGCAAAAGAAAGAUCUAGGAAGAUCACAUGGGAGGAAAAAGAAACAUCUGUAAAGACUGAAUGCGUGGCAGGAGUAACACCUAAUAAAACUGAAGUUUUGGAAAAAGGAACAUCUAAUAUGAUUGCAUGUCCUACAAAAGAAACAUCUACAAAAGCAAGUACAAAUGUGGAUGUGAGUUCUGUAGAGCCUAUAUUCAGUCUUUUUGGCACACGGACUAUUGAAAAUUCACAGUGUACAAAAGUUGAGGAAGACUUUAAUCUUGCUACCAAGAUUAUCUCUAAGAGUGCUGCACAGAAUUAUACGUGUUUACCUGAUGCUACAUAUCAAAAAGAUAUCAAAACAAUAAAUCACAAAAUAGAAGAUCAGAUGUUCCCAUCAGAAUCCAAACGAGAGGAAGAUGAAGAAUAUUCUUGGGAUUCUGGGAGUCUCUUUGAGAGUUCUGCAAAGACUCAAGUGUGUAUACCUGAGUCUAUGUAUCAGAAAGUAAUGGAGAUAAAUAGAGAAGUAGAAGAGCUUCCUGAGAAGCCAUCUGCCUUCAAGCCUGCCGUUGAAAUGCAAAAGACUGUUCCAAAUAAAGCCUUUGAAUUGAAGAAUGAACAAACAUUGAGAGCAGCUCAGAUGUUCCCAUCAGAAUCCAAACAAAAGGACGAUGAAGAAAAUUCUUGGGAUUCUGAGAGUCCCUGUGAGACGGUUUCACAGAAGGAUGUGUAUUUACCCAAAGCUACACAUCAAAAAGAAUUCGAUACCUUAAGUGGAAAAUUAGAAGAGUCUCCUGUUAAAGAUGGUCUUCUGAAGCCUACCUGUGGAAGGAAAGUUUCUCUUCCAAAUAAAGCCUUAGAAUUAAAGGACAGAGAAACAUUCAAAGCAGAGUCUCCUGAUAAAGAUGGUCUUCUGAAGCCUACCUGUGGAAGGAAAGUUUCUCUUCCAAAUAAAGCCUUAGAAUUAAAGGACAGAGAAACACUCAAAGCAGAGUCUCCUGAUAAUGAUGGUCUUCUGAAGCCUACCUGUGGAAGGAAAGUUUCUCUUCCAAAUAAAGCUUUAGAAUUGAAGGACAGAGAAACAUUCAAAGCAGCUCAGAUGUUCCCAUCAGAAUCCAAACAAAAGGAUGAUGAAGAAAAUUCUUGGGAUUUUGAGAGUUUCCUUGAGACUCUCUUACAGAAUGAUGUGUGUUUACCCAAGGCUACACAUCAAAAAGAAUUCGAUACCUUAAGUGGAAAAUUAGAAGAGUCUCCUGAUAAAGAUGGUCUUCUGAAGCCUACCUGUGGAAGGAAAGUUUCUCUUCCAAAUAAAGCCUUAGAAUUAAAGGACAGAGAAACACUCAAAGCAGAGUCUCCUGAUAAAGAUGGUCUUCUGAAGCCUACCUGUGUAAGGAAAGUUUCUCUUCCAAAUAAAGCCUUAGAAUUAAAGGACAGAGAAACAUUAAAAGCAGCUCAGAUGUUCCCAUCAGAAUCCAAACAAAAGGAUGAUGAAGAAAAUUCUUGGGAUUUUGAGAGUUUCCUUGAGGCUCUCUUACAGAAUGAUGGGUGUUUACCCAAGGCUACACAUCAAAAAGAAUUCGAUACCUUAAGUGGAAAAUUAGAAGAGUCUCCUGAUAAAGAUGGUCUUCUGAAGCCUACCUGUGGAAUGAAAAUUUCUCUUCCAAAUAAAGCCUUAGAAUUGAAGGACAGAGAAACAUUCAAAGCAGAGGAUGUGAGUUCUGUAGAGUCCACAUUCAGUCUUUUUGGCAAACCGACUACUGAAAAUUCACAGUCUACAAAAGUUGAGGAAGACUUUAAUCUUACUACCAAGGAGGGAGCAACAAAGACAGUAACUGGACAACAGGAACGUGAUAUUGGCAUUAUUGAACGAGCUCCACAAGAUCAAACAAAUAAGAUGCCCACAUCAGAAUUAGGAAGAAAAGAAGAUACAAAAUCAACUUCAGAUUCUGAGAUUAUCUCUGUGAGUGAUACACAGAAUUAUGAGUGUUUACCUGAGGCUACAUAUCAAAAAGAAAUAAAGACAACAAAUGGCAAAAUAGAAGAGUCUCCUGAAAAGCCUUCUCACUUUGAGCCUGCCACUGAAAUGCAAAACUCUGUUCCAAAUAAAGGCUUAGAAUGGAAGAAUAAACAAACAUUGAGAGCAGAUUCAACUACCCUAUCAAAAAUCUUGGAUGCACUUCCUUCUUGUGAAAGAGGAAGGGAACUUAAAAAAGAUAACUGUGAACAAAUUACAGCAAAAAUGGAACAAACGAAAAAUAAGUUUUGUGUACUACAAAAGGAACUGUCAGAAGCGAAAGAAAUAAAAUCACAGUUAGAGAACCAAAAAGCUAAAUGGGAACAAGAGCUCUGCAGUGUGAGAUUGACUUUAAAUCAAGAAGAAGAGAAGAGAAGAAAUGUCGAUAUAUUAAAAGAAAAAAUUAGACCCGAAGAGCAACUUAGGAAAAAGUUAGAAGUGAAACAACAACUUGAACAGACUCUCAGAAUACAAGAUAUAGAAUUGAAAAGUGUAACAAGUAAUUUGAAUCAGGUUUCUCACACUCAUGAAAGUGAAAAUGAUCUCUUUCAUGAAAAUUGCAUGUUGAAAAAGGAAAUUGCCAUGCUAAAACUGGAAGUAGCCACACUGAAACAUCAACACCAGGUGAAGGAAAAUAAAUACUUUGAGGACAUUAAGAUUUUACAAGAAAAGAAUGCUGAACUUCAAAUGACCCUAAAACUGAAACAGAAAACAGUAACAAAAAGGGCAUCUCAGUAUAGAGAGCAGCUUAAAGUUCUGACGGCAGAGAACACGAUGCUGACUUCUAAAUUGAAGGAAAAACAAGACAAAGAAAUACUGGAGACAGAAAUUGAAUCACACCAUCCUAGACUGGCUUCUGCUUUACAAGACCAUGAUCAAAGUGUCACAUCAAGAAAAAACCAAGAACUUGCUUUCCACAGUGCAGGAGAUGCUCCUUUGCAAGGAAUAAUGAAUGUUGAUGUGAGUAAUACAAUAUAUAACAAUGAGGUGCUCCAUCAACCACUUUAUGAAGCUCAAAGGAAAUCCAAAAGCCCAAAAAUUAAUCUCAAUUAUGCAGGAGAUGAUCUAAGAGAAAAUGCAUUGGUUUCAGAACAUGCACAAAGAGACCGAUGUGAAACACAGUGUCAAAUGAAGAAAGCUGAACACAUGUAUCAAAAUGAACAAGAUAAUGUGGACAAACACACUGAACAGCAGGAGUCUCUGGAGCAGAAAUUAUUUCAACUAGAAAGCAAAAAUAGGUGGCUUCGACAGCAAUUAGUUUAUGCACAUAAGAAAGUUAACAAAAGCAAGGUAACAAUUAAUAUUCAGUUUCCUGAGAUGAAAAUGCAACGUCAUCUAAACGAGAAAAAUGAGGAGGUAUUCAAUUAUGGUAACCAUUUAAAAGAACGUAUAGAUCAAUAUGAAAAAGAGAAAGCAGAAAGAGAAGUCAUUGUGAGACAACUUCAAAAAAAAUUGGCGGAUCUUAAUAAACAGUGUGAGGCUUCACUAAAGGUUACAUCACAUUCUCACUCUCUGAGGCAUCAAUAGAGGCUACAUCACAUUAUCACAUUAAUCUCAAAGAUUAAACAGUAAAGUUUAUUGUGAACAUUUGCUUCUUUUUCCAUUUUAAAGUUAAACAAGAAGAAAAGCUGUUGGGUACACCUGCAGAAAGGCUGUCACUUCACACUUGGAAGAUUGCACAACGGCCAGGCAGAGGUGCUCCUUACUUCCCAGAUGGGGCGGCUGGGCAGAGGCGCUCCUCACUUCCCAGAUGGGGCAACCAGGCAAGAGGUUUUUCUGGCAUUGUCUGCCCAGCUGCUCCAAGCCAGGCUGAUGAAGGAGGUGUCCCCUGUGGUGAGCUGGAGGUUGGAGCCUGAAUAUGGCACAGCUCUGUGAUUCAUCUCCUAUGGUUGUGGCAGCCAUGGUGAUGGAGACGGCAGCUCAACAGGAGCGGGUCUGCUGUCAUGUGAUGCUAUACCAGAGUCAAGCUGGAAUUUGGCAUCUUAGUGCCAAAGGGUCUGUUUCAUCCAUGAAGGGAUGUCUAUUUUAAUGUUAAUGCUGGGUAAUGAGGAAAAUGAGGCAGCCAGAUGGAGUCCCAGCAAAAGCAGACUUCAGGCAGAAGGAACGGCAAGUCCAGGGCUCUGGAUGAGAGAAGAUCAACAACAGGAGACAGAGGGACCCCUCUAGAGGCAGGAGGAAAGAUAAAUGGCCACAGGCUGCUGUCAUCUAGGCCAGGGUUCUGGCAGCAAUGAAAACACGUCUGCAGGAGGAGAAAGAAGUGCUUUUGAAUCCAUCUUACUCAUCGUCUGUCUCUUGUCUCUUCAAAGUGAAUGCAGUUGGAAGGAAAGGGACAGGUUGGUUCUGUGCUUUGCCCAAGUAGGUCCAAAUUCUGUUUUUUUUCAGGAUGUAGCAGGGUGAGCUGUUCUGACAAACUUGAUCUUAGCACAACAGGGGCAGUAAGGUCAUCAUCCCCACCAGUCCUUUGCCCUAGGAUUACAGGACCUGCCCCCAGAGGGACAGGAGCUCAUCCUACACUGUCCCAGUGUUUCUGUGAAACACCUUAGCUCCCUGGCUGAUUCCCCAGUGGCUCAGGGGCCCAGGGAGCCUCCUCACACCCAAGGUCCCUGUCCCCAGGUGUGGGGGAUCCCUAUGUAUGACAUUGUGGGUGACUGGGACUCCUCACUGAACAGGAUCAGUAAAGGGCCUGCCUGGCUCUAGGCACUCAUUCAGCUGCACUGGAAUUUGGAGAAAGAGGCUGCAGAAUACACCCCUAGCCCUAAUUAGGAAAGAAACAGAGUGGUCUUGAGUCAACUCCUGAAAGCUGUGUGUGCCCUGGAUCAAUGGCCCACGGGACAUGUAGAACAGAGGCAGGAAGUCCCACUGUAAAUGGCAGACUUCAGUUUCCAGGACUUAGAUUCCACUGGGAAGCAGCUGUCCAAUUCACAAAAUUGUCAGUGAUCAAAAUAAAUAUAAUAAAGUAGUUCAUUUUAAGCAAUGCAAAGAAAGCUGAGUGGCAGAUAAAGCUAAAGAUGAGCUCCAGAUGCCACCAGGCAUAGCACGUGGAGGGACUGCAUACCCGCGUCCAGCGUAACUUACAACUCCUGGAAUGCUGGGACUGUGCAGUGUUAAUUCUAAUGGCCCAUGGAGGCAUAAUUAAUUAACCUUUCAGUUACUCUGGGCACUGCCCUUAUCCAAACAUAAAUAUGUGUAUGCCGGGAAAAUUUUGCAAUAUAGAAAGCCGACAUCGUUGACUCCUUAUUCAUAGGCAAAUCCAGUGCUUUUCAAUUUUGACUGUGCAGCAGAAUCACCGAUGGAUUUUAUUUUUAAAAUAGGGGUACGUAUGUCUCAUCUCACCCAGGGUGAGGUCCAUGGAUCUAAUGUUAUGAAGCCCACAGUGGGUCCCAAAUCCCAGCUGAGCUCCAGGACUAGGAAUGUCACCCAGCCUCCCUGCUGUAGAGCUGCACCAUGGCUUUCGUUCUUCCCGUGGUGGAAACAAAGCUUGCCUAGAGUUUCUGGAUGCAGCAUCUCUCCGAAAACAAGCUGGGGCUCUGCCGCCCUCACUGGAGCACAGCCAGUGCUGUGGAGCCCCCAGAGUGGCCACAGGGAUAGAGGGGACUUAAAACUGAGUAGGGGGCAACAGAGUUGGGGGUCUAUCCACCACAUGUGGACACACAGCAAGUCAGGCAUGUGGGAAGGAGGGAACAGCAGCGUGGAAUGGAAAUGGCAAAUGUUCAUCCAGCCAGGUGUUAUUUUAUUUAUGGCUUCUGGGGAAAUGGGAUGAACAAUUUCAGAACAGCCUUGGGUUGAACUUGAUGCUGCAAAUGGAACUUAAUUGCUCAAAUAAUGUCAUAUCAAUUUCAUAUAAAUGAUAAAGAAGGAAAGUCCCUCUUUCUAGAGAGAAAACUCUCCUGACGGCAUCAGGCUGUCCUGGGAAGUCACUGCUUCCCUUUUCUGUUGUGGGGCAUAACGGGAGAUGAAGCUGGGAAUUGACAAUCUCUUUUUUCUGCUGGACUGAAACCUCCUGGAGCAGAAAAAUAGUUUUUUAUUUUGCAAAUGAAAGUCAAAGAUGUGGCAGGAGUUGAGGGUGGGCAUUGCAAGAGCUAAAUCCGGUGCUUCUGACAGCCCAGCCCUAGUGAGAGGCCCCUUCUGAGAGUCCCAGGGACUCUUAUGUAAAUGAAACUCAAAUAGAGCUCCCCACAGCACCUGAGCUUAGGGUCACCAGGCUCUGGGACUCUGUAUGUGCUCCCAGGAGAUUCCAUCCCCAGGAUAACACUGCAGGUCAAUUUGUGCUUUUCCUACCAUGCAAACCAUACUCUGGUAACUGUGCAGGAUUCUAAGAAAUAAACUUAUUGAACCAAA